CAAGUCGAACGCGAAAGCCCCGCAAGGGGUAAGUAGAGUGGCAAACGGGUGAGUAACGCGUGGGUGACCUGCCUUCGAGCGGGGGAUAACGUUCCGAAAGGGACGCUAAUACCGCAUAACAUCCUGCCUUUUAAGAGGUGGAGAUCAAAGCGGCGUAGCAAUACGUCGCACUCGAAGAGGGGCCCGCGUCCGAUUAGCUAGUUGGUGAGGUAACGGCUCACCAAGGCAACGAUCGGUAGCCGGCCUGAGAGGGCGGACGGCCACACUGGGACUGAGACACGGCCCAGACUCCUACGGGAGGCAGCAGUGGGGAAUUGUUCGCAAUGGGCGCAAGCCUGACGACGCAACGCCGCGUGGAGGAUGAAGAUCUUCGGGUCGUAAACUCCUUUCGAUCGAGACGAAUAACUUCCGGGUGAACAAUCCGGAGGAAUGACGGUACCGAGAGAAGAAGCCCCGGCUAACUCCGUGCCAGCAGCCGCGGUAAUACGGGGGGGGCAAGCGUUGUUCGGAAUUACUGGGCGUAAAGGGCUUGUAGGUGGCCAACUAAGUCAGACGUGAAAUCCCUCGGCUUAACCGGGGAACUGCGUCUGAUACUGGAUGGCUAGAGUGUGGGAGAGGGAUGCGGAAUUCCAGGUGUAGCGGUGAAAUGCGUAGAUAUCUGGAGGAACACCGGUGGCGAAGGCGGCAUCCUGGACCACGACUGACACUGAAAAGCGAAAGCCAGGGGAGCAAACGGGAUUAGAUACCCCGGUAGUCCUGGCCCUAAACGAUGAAUGCUUGGUGUGGCGGGUAUCAUCCCUGCCGUGCCGAAGCUAACGCAUUAAGCAUUCCCCCUGGGAGUACGGUCCCAGGCUUAAACUCAAGGAAUGACGGGGCCCCACAACCGUGAACAUGUGUUCAUUC
RNAcentral lists this ribosomal RNA (903 nucleotides) under uncultured Pseudomonadota bacterium. Its description in RNAcentral is "bacterial SSU rRNA". It matches the Rfam family "Bacterial small subunit ribosomal RNA", at positions 58 to 952 of the family's 1533-position model. The record is from RNAcentral. Lineage: Bacteria; Pseudomonadati; Pseudomonadota.